This 425-nucleotide ribosomal RNA is filed under the name uncultured bacterium. Its description in RNAcentral is "partial 16S ribosomal RNA". It matches the Rfam family "Bacterial small subunit ribosomal RNA", at positions 354 to 796 of the family's 1533-position model. The record is from RNAcentral.
GUGGGGAAUCUUGCACAAUGGGCGAAAGCCUGAUGCAGCCAUGCCGCGUGAAUGAUGAAGGCCUUAGGGUUGUAAAAUUCUUUCGUCAGGGAUGAUAAUGACCGUACCUGAAGAAGAAGCCCCGGCUAACUUCGUGCCAGCAGCCGCGGUAAUACGAAGGGGGCUAGCGUUGUUCGGAAUUACUGGGCGUAAAGCGCACGUAGGCGGACUUUUAAGUCAGGUGUGAAAUCCCGGGGCUCAACCUCGGAACUGAAUUUGAAACUGGAAGUCUUGAGAUCAGGAGAGGUUAGCGGAAUACCGAGUGUAGAGGUGAAAUUCGUAGAUAUUCGGUGGAACACCAGUGGCGAAGGCGGCUAACUGGACUGAUACUGACGCUGAGGUGCGAAAGUGUGGGGAGCAAACAGGAUUAGAUACCCCAGUAGUCC